Non-coding RNA from Paramuricea clavata, 564 nucleotides. The record is from the annotation of a GenBank genome assembly. Lineage: Eukaryota; Metazoa; Cnidaria; Anthozoa; Malacalcyonacea; Plexauridae.
AUUUAUCUUAUUCAAAUAAGUCAUGUCUGUACAACACAACUAUAAACAUUACGCACGGUCCUUGGCUAAUUAAUUCCAAGUCCUUAAUUAGAAUACAUCGAUUAGUAAUUAGUAUCAAUUAAGUCUGCUUAAUUAUUACGCAAGGUCCUUGGCUAAUUAAUUCCAAGUCCUUAAUUAGAAUACAUCAGUUAGUUAUUAGCAUCAAUUAAGUCUGCUUAAUUAUCACGCACGGUCUUUGGCUAAUUAAUUCCAAGUCCUUAAUUAGAAUACAUCGAUUAGUUAUUAAGCCUGAUUCUCAUUUAUCGUAAACAUCGGCGAUGCCCAUUGUCGGUGGUCAUUGAUUUACCCCGUCAGUGGAAAAAUAAUCACCCUAUAUUAAAGAAGGCAAAAAUUUAUUAAUUUCUUGAUCAGUGCGUUCAACUGAAAGUUUGCUUAAUUAUCACGCACGGUCUUUGGCUAAUUAAUUCCAAGUCCUUAAUUAGAAUACAUCGAUUAGUUAUUAAGCCUGAUUCUCAUUUAUCGUAAACAUCGGCGAUGCCCAUUGUCGGUGGUCAUUGAUUUACC